AUUGAACGCUGGCGGCAGGCCUAACACAUGCAAGUCGAGCGGAUGAAGGGAGCUUGCUCCUGGAUUCAGCGGCGGACGGGUGAGUAAUGCCUAGGAAUCUGCCUGGUAGUGGGGGAUAACGUCCGGAAACGGGCGCUAAUACCGCAUACGUCCUGAGGGAGAAAGUGGGGGAUCUUCGGACCUCACGCUAUCAGAUGAGCCUAGGUCGGAUUAGCUAGUUGGUGGGGUAAAGGCCUACCAAGGCGACGAUCCGUAACUGGUCUGAGAGGAUGAUCAGUCACACUGGAACUGAGACACGGGCCAGACUCCUACGGGAGGCAGCAGUGGGGAAUAUUGGACGAUGGGCGAAAGCCUGAUCCAGCCAUGCCGCGUGUGAAGAAGGUCUUCGGAUUGUAAAGCACUUUAAGUUGGGAGGAAGGGCAGUAAGUUAAUACCUUGCUGUUUUGACGUUACCAACAGAAUAAGCACCGGCUAACUUCGUG
RNAcentral lists this ribosomal RNA (482 nucleotides) under uncultured bacterium. RNAcentral's name for it is "partial 16S ribosomal RNA". It matches the Rfam family "Bacterial small subunit ribosomal RNA", at positions 30 to 507 of the family's 1533-position model. The record is from RNAcentral.